RNAcentral lists this ribosomal RNA (439 nucleotides) under uncultured bacterium. RNAcentral describes it as "partial 16S ribosomal RNA". It matches the Rfam family "Bacterial small subunit ribosomal RNA", at positions 339 to 795 of the family's 1533-position model. The record is from RNAcentral.
CUACGGGAGGCUGCAGUGAGGAAUAUUGCACAAUGGGGGGAACCCUGAUGCAGCAACACCGCGUGGAGGAUGACGCAUUUCGGUGUGUAAACUCCUUUUAUAUGUCAAGAAAAUGACGGUAGCAUAUGAAUAAGCACCGGCUAACUCCGUGCCAGCAACCGCGGUAAUACGGAGGGUGCAAGCGUUACUCGGAAUCACUGGGCGUAAAGGACGCGUAGGCGGGUUGGAAAGUCAGGUGUGAAAUCCUACAGCUUAACUGUAGAACUGCACUUGAAACUUCUAAUCUAGAGUAUGGGAGAGGGAGAUGGAAUUAGUGGUGUAGGGGUAAAAUCCGUAGAUAUCACUAGGAAUACCUAAAGCGAAGGCGAUCUCCUGGAACAUUACUGACGCUAAGGCGUGAAAGCGUGGGGAGCAAACAGGAUUAGAUACCCUCGUAGUC